UCUAAUUAUGCCCCCCUUCAAGAAGAGGGGGUAUAUUGCUUUGCUCAUGUCGGUCUGUCGGUCGGUCUGUCGGUCUGUCCGUCCACCAGGUGGUUGUCAGACGAUAACUCAAGAACGCUUGGGCCUAGGAUAAUGAAACUUCAUAGGUACAUUGAUCAUGACUCGCAGAUGACCCCUAUUGAUUUUGAGGUCACUAGGUCAAAGGUCAAGGUCACGGUGACCCGAAAUAGUAAAAUGGUUUCCAGAUGAUAACUCAAGAAUGCAUACGCCUAGGAUCAUGAAACUUCAUUGGUAGAUUGAUCAUGACUCGCAGAUGACCCCUAUUGAUUUUGAGGUCACUAGGUCAAAGGUCAAGGUCACGGUGACCCGAAAUAGUAAAAUGGUUUUCGGAUGAUAACUCAAAGAACGCAUAUACCAAAGAUCAUGAAACUUGAUAGGUAGAUUGAUCAUGACUCGCAGAUGACCCCUAUUGAUUUUGAGGUCACAAGGUCAAAGGUCAAGGUCACGGUGACCUGAAAUAGUAAAAUGGUGUCCGGAUGAUAACUCAAGAAUGCUUAUGGCUAGGAGCAUGAAACUUCAUAGGUACAUUGAUCAUGACUGGCA
Dreissena polymorpha is the source of this 603-nucleotide long non-coding RNA. RefSeq lists it as uncharacterized. The record is from RefSeq and is a predicted model, not a curated record. The transcript has 2 exons. NCBI's taxonomy places the organism in Eukaryota, Metazoa, Mollusca, Bivalvia, Myida, Dreissenidae.